UUGGCUAGAUAUGGAACCUAAUGAAUCACACACAAAAAAAUUGAUCUUAGACUUUUGAUUAGACUUGAGAAGUCUUAAAUCAAUAAGAAUUUAGUUGAAAUCCUAAUAGGUUUAGAUCAAGUAUGCUAGCACAUCAUUGAACCCAUGAAUCUCCUUCUAUUUGGAUUUCUAAUUAGAUUAGAAAUAGUUUAGGUCAAGUUAUUGACUCCCAACUAAUUUUUUCUUAAUUUAAAUGCCCCUGUCCUUUAUGAAAAGGAAGAAUCCCACUUGCAGAAGAACUCUUCCAAGCAUCUCCACGCCUCCUAGCACCCCUCUUGGUUUUCACGCGUGAAAAGGUUUCACGCUAAUAUUGUUAGACGCCCAAAACGAGGGAGGAGUCCAUCCUAGAAGGACUCCUCCACGCACCCAACGCCCCAUGUGGAAACCCCUUCCAUGCCCUCUUUUCUCAACGCACUAGGGGCCUCACGCCUCUUGGUAGUUGGCGCCCAAGAGGCCUCACGCCUCUUGGUAGUUGGCGCCCAAGUUGUUGGGCAUUGAAAGGGUUUUGGUUCCUAUCAAAACUCCUUGUUGAGUCAGAAAUUGGGACUGAAACUAAGACUUUAAAUCUAUAAAUAUGAGGCUAAAGUCCAUGAGUUAGAUUAAUCAAUAUUCUCUACACCAAGAGAGGAGAAGGCCAAGAGAGAAAGAGAAAGAAUGGUUGCUGAUUUCUUGAGAAGAAAUUCAAUAAAUUAAAUUGAGGAAGAUCCUUAAUCAAGACCCAUAUGGAUCACUGUUAGAGAACGUACGCAUAUAUGCCUCAAAGGAGACCAAUCAGCAAUCAAAUCAGAUUGAUUAAAAGGUAUAUUAAUUCUUCUUACUCUUUUGAUUACUAUAUGUUUCAUGUUUGAUUAGAAUCAUCAAAGUAAUUUUGAGAUUGAAGUUUGAAUCUUAUAAUCAAGUAUUGAUACAUAUUUAAAAAAAUUUUAAAAUCUAUAUUUUGCUGCGCAUCCGAAUCUCAACACUGACACUCUUAUGAGGCUAACAAAAGCGAUAAUGUCCAACAUCCAGAUUAGUCCAAUCAGGGUAUUUUUAUUUGAUCACAAUGAGAACGGGAAAUAGAUGUUUCAUAAAGAUCAAGGGUGAUCAGAUUAAUAGUAUCCAAAAAGAGUCAAAAUGAAGGUUGAUACAUCGAUUGACAUUCAGGAAUCAAUUUG
This 1193-nucleotide long non-coding RNA is filed under the name Elaeis guineensis (African oil palm). RNAcentral's name for it is "long non-coding RNA (EGUI_LNC052712)". Lineage: Eukaryota; Viridiplantae; Streptophyta; Magnoliopsida; Arecales; Arecaceae. The record is from RNAcentral.